This 466-nucleotide ribosomal RNA is filed under the name uncultured bacterium. RNAcentral describes it as "bacterial SSU rRNA". It matches the Rfam family "Bacterial small subunit ribosomal RNA", at positions 28 to 507 of the family's 1533-position model. The record is from RNAcentral.
GACGAACGCUGGCGGCGCGCCUAACACAUGCAAGUCGAACGAGAGAUGAGGAGCUUGCUCUUCAAAUCGAGUGGCGAACGGGUGAGUAACGCGUGAGGAACCUGCCUCAAAGAGGGGGACAACAGUUGGAAAUGACUGCUAAUACCGCAUAAGCCCACGGCUCGGCAUCGAGCAGAGGGAAAAGGAGCGAUCCGCUUUGAGAUGGCCUCGCGUCCGAUUAGCUAGUUGGUGAGGUAACGGCCCACCAAGGCGACGAUCGGUAGCCGGACUGAGAGGUUGAACGGCCACAUUGGGACUGAGACACGGCCCAGACUCCUACGGGAGGCAGCAGUGGGGAAUAUUGCACAAUGGGGGAAACCCUGAUGCAGCGACGCCGCGUGGAGGAAGAAGGUCUUCGGAUUGUAAACUCCUGUUGUUGAGGAAGAUAAUGACGGUACUCAACAAGGAAGUGACGGCUAACUACGUG